Molecule: ribosomal RNA, 403 nt
Filed under: Verrucomicrobiota bacterium
Lineage: Bacteria; Pseudomonadati; Verrucomicrobiota
Description: Verrucomicrobia bacterium partial 16S ribosomal RNA
Rfam family: Bacterial small subunit ribosomal RNA
Source: RNAcentral
UGGGGAAUAUUGCACAAUGGGCGCAAGCCUGAUGCAGCAACGCCGCGUGAACGAUGAAGGUCUUCGGAUCGUAAAGUUCUGUUGCAGGGGAAGAUAAUGACGGUACCCUGUGAGGAAGCCCCGGCUAACUACGUGCCAGCAGCCGCGGUAAUACGUAGGGGGCUAGCGUUAUCCGGAUUUACUGGGCGUAAAGGGUGCGUAGGUGGUCUUUCAAGUCGGUGGUUAAAGGCUACGGCUCAACCGUAGUUAGCCUCCGAAACUGGAAGACUUGAGUGCAGGAGAGGAAAGUGGAAUUCCCAGUGUAGCGGUGAAAUGCGUAGAUAUUGGGAGGAACACCAGUAGCGAAGGCGGCUUUCUGGACUGCAUCUGACACUGAGGCACGAAAGCGUGGGUAGCAAACAGG